AUAUAUAUAUAUAUAUAUUUGAAUAGAUAGAAUUUUACCAUGCAGACUUUUUACUACUAUUGAAACCAACGAUUUAUUUGUCUUUGAUUCAAUAAAUUCGGUUUAUUUAUUACGGAUUCAAUGUGGUUGUAUAAGACGAAAAUGUUGACUUUGCUAUUUAGUACAGUCUCGAAAAAUUUCAUGAGCCAUUAUUAUUACUAGUUACAUUGACUCCGCACAAGUACGGGAUUGUAGACCGAGUUCUUGUUUCAUCUCAUUUCUUAUAGUUAUAGUUAUUGUAGCUGUAAAUUUUACGUUUUGAGUUGACUAUUAUUUUUCAAGUUUUUUAUUGUUAUAUGGUUAGAGUUGUGAUGAUGAAUUGUGUAUGCAUUGUUCUCCACUCAUAAAGGACUAAAAUGUUUUAGUAAUAUGAUUGAUAUAGUUCGUGGUGUUGUUUCCUGUGUCACUGUGACUUAUUGUUUGUUUGUUUUUUUUAAUUUGUUACUUGUAUUGUUGAAAUUACAUAAAUUAUAUUAAGGUUGUUGAGAGUACCUUUUGUUUGUGAAUAUUUUUUCUCAAGUUUAGUUGUGUAAGUUGUGUGUAUUAAGUAAUAAUUAUUUUUAUUCUUAUUAUGUUGGUUAUAUGUUUUUUUUUUAUUUUUAAACUUGUUGCUUUUACCGGACCUUUAAAACAAAUACAUGAAAACUUGUAGAAAUAACUAUAAAAUGAGUGACAAUUAGUAUUUGGACCUUAAUGGGUUUUAAACGAAUAUAUGUAUUUUUCAUAAGAAGACAAUAACAUUGGCCCGUUGACAUUGAACAUGUAAGCUAUUUUCAUAAGACAAGAGGAGUGAGUAGGUGGAAAUGUUGUUGCCGCCUUUGUGUCUGUUGGGAUUGUCUCUUGUAUCUCUUGGUAUGGUUGUGUUUGUUUCUCUUUUAUUUGAUGGGUAAUAUGCAAACAAAAAUCAUUGUUAGUUGUAUUUAUUAAAGUUUGUAACUUACUCUGCCUUUUUGUUUAGGUAAUUUCACUGAUCUUGGUUGUCGUCUUAGUCUUCUUCACAAGCAUCUGCGAAAGUAAGUUUGUAAAUUGUUAAAUAACUGGUCGUGUAGUUUGUAUUUGUUUAGUUGGCUCAAUGUAUUUGUCGUUGAGUUUUAGUUGAGUUGAUUGGUUUGGUAUAUAUUUGUUUUGAAGUUUAUUUGUAAGAUUAGACAAAAAGAGAGGUGAUCAUUAAUUAUUCGUCUUGUUUUGGGAUUCUAGUUUUUGGUGAUUUGAUUGUUUGGGUUAUUGUGGUUUCUUUUAAGUUGUAAAAUAAAGAUUUGUGUAAAAUUAGAUUGAUAAGUAAGAGAGAUAAAUAGACGACCACAAAUCUUGGGUAGAAAAUAUUUUUGAUUAUUGAUGUUAGCACAAUAUAGACAAUAAUAUAAAUAUAAUUAUGUGUUGA
This 1420-nucleotide long non-coding RNA is filed under the name Brassica napus (rape). Its description in RNAcentral is "long non-coding RNA (BNAP_LNC013119)". Lineage: Eukaryota; Viridiplantae; Streptophyta; Magnoliopsida; Brassicales; Brassicaceae. The record is from RNAcentral.